Molecule: ribosomal RNA, 253 nt
Filed under: uncultured bacterium
Lineage: Bacteria
Description: partial 16S ribosomal RNA
Rfam family: Bacterial small subunit ribosomal RNA
Source: RNAcentral
UACGUAGGGUGCGAGCGUUGUCCGGAUUUAUUGGGCGUAAAGAGCGUGUAGGCGGCUAGGUAGGUCCGUUGUGAAAACUCGAGGCUCAACCUCGAGACGCCGAUGGAAACCAUCUGGCUAGAGUCCGGAAGAGGAGAGUGGAAUUCCUGGUGUAGCGGUGAAAUGCGCAGAUAUCAGGAAGAACACCCGUGGCUAAGGCGGCUCUCUAGUACGGUACUGACGCUGAGACGCGAAAGCGUGGGGAGCGAACAGG